AGUGAACGCUGGCGGUAGGCCUAACACAUGCAAGUCGAACGGCAGCACAGUAAGAGCUUGCUCUUACGGGUGGCGAGUGGCGGACGAGUGAGGAAUACAUCGGAAUCUACUUUUUCGUGGGGGAUAACGUAGGAAACUUACGCUAAUACCGCAUACGACCUACGGGUGAAAGCAGGGGAUCUUCGGACCUUGCGCGAUUGAAUGAGCCGAUGUCGGAUUAGCUAGUUGGCGGGGUAAAGGCCCACCAAGGCGACGAUCCGUAGCUGGUCUGAGAGGAUGAUCAGCCACACUGGAACUGAGACACGGUCCAGACUCCUACGGGAGGCAGCAGUGGGGAAUAUUGGACAAUGGGCGCAAGCCUGAUCCAGCCAUACCGCGUGGGUGAAGAAGGCCUUCGGGUUGUAAAGCCCUUUUGUUGGGAAAGAAAAGCAGCAGGUUAAUACCCCGCUGUUCUGACGGUACCCAAAGAAUAAGCACCGGCUAACUUCGUG
Molecule: ribosomal RNA, 491 nt
Filed under: uncultured bacterium
Lineage: Bacteria
Description: partial 16S ribosomal RNA
Rfam family: Bacterial small subunit ribosomal RNA
Source: RNAcentral